Mus caroli (Ryukyu mouse) is the source of this 230-nucleotide long non-coding RNA. RefSeq lists it as uncharacterized. The record is from RefSeq and is a predicted model, not a curated record. Lineage: Eukaryota; Metazoa; Chordata; Mammalia; Rodentia; Muridae.
CAGAAAGGCAAGCAAGAGUGCAAGAGGAUCACCAGACCCUCAAUGGUCAGAAUCAGGUUUGCCUCAAAACUCAAUAUAUUGGUGAAACAGGUCUUCAAAUCCUUGUCUACCUGCCUUUACCCACAAGUGCUAGGAUAACAGCUGAGAAUCAUGCACCCAUCAUUCCUGAGAAGCCAUUAUCUGAUUGGAAGCUUCAUCACUCAUUGAUCAAAGGCUCGACUUAAAUUCUA